This 69-nucleotide transfer RNA is filed under the name Meretrix lusoria. Its description in RNAcentral is "tRNA-Ala". The record is from RNAcentral. Lineage: Eukaryota; Metazoa; Mollusca; Bivalvia; Venerida; Veneridae.
GGUGUGGUACUUUAAAUUAAAAGGUUAGGUUUGCAACUUAAAAUUGAGGCUUUGUGGUCUUCCGUGCUA